Molecule: long non-coding RNA, 766 nt
Organism: Cucumis melo (muskmelon)
Lineage: Eukaryota; Viridiplantae; Streptophyta; Magnoliopsida; Cucurbitales; Cucurbitaceae
Exons: 2
Source: RefSeq, a predicted model, not a curated record
AGGUGAUUCAUAAUCUCUUCAUCCAUUUACAUUUUGGGGAACAUAUGAGGCCAGUUACAGAGGAGGCAAUUUCGUCUUUCAAUUCUAUCUUAAAUGCUUAGAGUCUUUACUUAUCUGUUCUACACUUCUUUUUAAUUAUACUUUUCCAGUUUUACAACCUAGAACUUCCUGAUAUUGUCCAUCCUUCACUGAGAGGCAUUUGAUGAGGCACUGGCUUUCCAAAAGUUCUUUUGCACGUGCCUUUGUAAAUUAUCUAGAACUCUUCCCUUCCUAUCACCAGAGUUCCAUAUUUGGCUCUUGUUCAUUCAAGAGGGAGAUUGUGGUCUUUUACUGCAUUUGGCUGCUUGCUCAAAAGAUACUUCCUUCUUGGUUCUUAAGCACCUUGGAGAACCACACCCCAAAAACCAGCUAUGGGAUUAGCGAGCCAAGCCACUCAAGUACCACAUUGGUCACAAUAUUUUGACCAAUAUGGGACAAAGGCAUCUGAUAUUACCUUGGUUCCUAACAUUUUCACAGACAGUCUUCCAAAAUAACUUUACCUGGAGUGGGAUUGAAAGGAGGUUUUCCGGUGAAUUUGUCAUUUGAAUCUCUUUUUUGUUUGUUUCUGUUCCAAAAUUCUAGCCACUCCAUUAUCCAUCAAACUUGACCAUUUCUUCUUGAUGCCCACUGUUAAUUUUAUGAAGUUAUGUCAAUUUAAGUAUAGUUUGCUGUUUAUUUAUUUUAUUUUUAAAGUAAAGUUUUCUGUUCAUUUGUUGUCAGCAGAAUA